RNAcentral lists this ribosomal RNA (791 nucleotides) under uncultured soil bacterium. Its description in RNAcentral is "bacterial SSU rRNA". It matches the Rfam family "Bacterial small subunit ribosomal RNA", at positions 8 to 779 of the family's 1533-position model. The record is from RNAcentral.
AGAGUUUGAUCCUGGCUCAGGACGACGCUGGCGGCGUGCCUAAUACAUGCAAGUCGGGCGAAUCUUUGCCUAGCUUGCUCCCAAAGGUUAGCGGCGGACGGGUGAGUAACACGUGGGUAACCUGCCUGUAAGACUGGGAUAACUCCGGGAAACCGGGGCUAAUACCGGAUAUGAUUUUAGUUCGCAUGAACUGAAAUGGAAAGGUGGCUUUUAGCUACCACUUACAGAUGGAUCCGCGGCGCAUUAGCUAAUUGGUGAGGUAACGGCUCACCAAGGCGACGAUGCGUAGCCGACCUGAGAGGGUGAUCGGCCACACUGGGACUGAGACACGGCCCAUACUCCUACGGGAGGCAGCAGUAGGGAAUCUUCCGCAAUGGACGAAAGUCUGACGGAGCAACGCCGCGUGAGUGAUGAAGGUUUUCGGAUCGUAAAGCUCUGUUGUUAGGGAAGAACAAGUACCGUUCGAAUAGGGCGGUACCUUGACGGUACCUAAACAGAAAGCCACGGCUAACUACGUGCCAGCAGCCGCGGUAAUACCUAGGUGGCAAGCGUUGUCCGGAAUUAUUGGGCGUAAAGCGCGCGCAUGCGGUUUCUUAAGUCUGAAGUGAAAGCCCACGGCUCAACCGUGGAGGGUCCUUGGAAACUGGGAGACUUGAGUGCAUACACAUGACACUGCAAUUUCCACUGUCGCGGUGGACUGCCAAGAUAUGUGCUACAAAACCAACGCGCUAACGGGACUGUCUGGUGUGGAACUCGUCGCACACGGCGCAUUAAAUUGGGGGAGCAUGACU